AAUCAACGCUGGCGGCGUGCCUAACACAUGCAAGUCGAACGCGAAAGCCCCGCAAGGGGUCAGUAGAGUGGCAAACGGGUGAGUAACACGUGGGUGAUCUGCCUCAGAGUGGGGGAUAACGACCCGAAAGGGUCGCUAAUACCGCAUAACAUCCUGCGCUUGGAUGCGUGGAGAUCAAAGUUGGGGAUUCGCAAGAACCUGACGCUUAGAGAGGAGCCCGCGGCCGAUAGCUAGUUGGUGAGGUAACGGCUCACCAAGGCAACGAUCGGUAUCCGGCCUGAGAGGGCGGACGGACACACUGGGACUGAGACACGGCCCAGACUCCUACGGGAGGCAGCAGUGGGGAAUUGUUCGCAAUGGGCGCAAGCCUGACGACGCAACGCCGCGUGGAGGACGAAGAUUUUCGGAUCGUAAACUCCUUUCGAUCGGGAAGAACAGCUCUUGAG
RNAcentral lists this ribosomal RNA (446 nucleotides) under uncultured bacterium. Its description in RNAcentral is "bacterial SSU rRNA". It matches the Rfam family "Bacterial small subunit ribosomal RNA", at positions 32 to 460 of the family's 1533-position model. The record is from RNAcentral.